Molecule: non-coding RNA, 2487 nt
Organism: Amborella trichopoda
Lineage: Eukaryota; Viridiplantae; Streptophyta; Magnoliopsida; Amborellales; Amborellaceae
Source: RefSeq, a predicted model, not a curated record
UUGACCUCUCUUCAUUUGGUUUCUCUCUCGCCUUUCUAUCUCUACUGUCCUCACUCUCAUCGUCCCGCUGGAUCUCUAUACCCUUUUCUUCUCUUUGCAUCCCAUUCUCUCCUCCUCCAAUCUCUCUCUUCUUCUUCUUCUUCUUCUUCUUCUUCUAAUAACCCAUCAAGCCCUAGACGGAUCUCUAUACCCUUUUCUUCUCUUUUCAUCCCAUUCUCUCCCCCUCCAAUCUCUCUCUUCUUCUUCUUCUUCUAAUAACCCAUCAAGCCCUAAACGAAAAACUCCUUUCUCUUCUGCUUCCCCAAAAUUAGCCACAAAUCAAAGCUGAUUCCUUCCAAAUAUGGAAGAUCAAGAAAAUGGCUCAGGAUUUCUUCAGUUAACAAAUCAAAGAGCAAAGAAACAAUACAAUCAAAAUCACCUAAUUCAAUUAGCUAAAAGCCCUUGCUAAAGCUAGAGGCGUGUUGGUUGCAGUUGUCUAUAGAGGAGGGAAACCUCAUUUCUUUAAAGGCAGGUAAAUCAUGAUAAAAUAGAGGUAUCUUAUUGUAAAUCUGAUGAGCGAGAGAUGUAGGAAAAACCUACGCGGAUCCUUCUCAAUGAUCAUAUCAAAAAGGCUCUCAUUGCUAUCAGGUGAGGAUUGAAAAGUCUCGGUCUCUCAUUUGAGUUUUCUGAUUGUGGUUCUUUUCAUUUUAUAGUUAGCAGACUCACUCUAGGCCAAAAAAAAAAAGAAAGAACUCUUUACAGGAGUGGAUCAGAUGAGUCAAUGUAAGUUAGCCCUUUCCCUCUAAGAUAAGAAUGUGCUAUUGAGGAGAAACAAGAAACAUAGUGGGAAGUGGUUGUUGUUCAGCCACCCAAUUAUGAUGAGAAAGUUGAAUAAUCAGUUGUAGUUUUUUAUUUUUUUGAAUUUUUAGGUUGUAGAUUUCAUGAGCUUCUGGUUAAAAAAAAAAAAUUGAUUUUGUUUUUUUAAUUAUUCUUACAGGAAAUUAAUGUAUUUUGGGUAAAAAAUAAAUGAUUUUCUUUAUAAGGUAUAAUGCCCUAGUCACGAUUUUUGUAGUGUGUAACCAGUGCGUUCUGAUGUUUUUGUUUGUUUGUUUGUUUGUUUUUUAUGUUGUGGAUUUUGUGAGCUUCUUUGACAAAUGACUUUGAAAUGUUUUUGGAUGAACUCUAUAUCAAGAUAUCUGUGACUUUUUAUUUGAUUUGUGAAAUUCUGUAUCUUAUUUUUGUGGUUUUUUAUUUUAUUUGAAUUUUUAAGUUGUAAACCCUCGACCUGAUUUUUCGGCUUGAACAUUUUCAAGUUUUAUCUUAGUUUUGUUGAUUGGCACCUUUCUUUAUAUGCAACAUUUAGCUUUUCUCUUAUGGGUGCAAAUUGUCUUAGUCCAAUUGUAUGUUUAAUUGUCCAUGGAAUACAAAAUCUAUAUUUGAUUAAUUUGAUGAACGAGGGUUCUAAUUACCAUUGAUUCAGUGAUUCAGCUUAUCAAUUUAUCCCUUAUCAUGUAUAGUAAAGGUUGAUUUUUUUUGUUUAUUAUAUAUUGUUGAUUAGGGAAUGGUAGAUGGUAGGGCAAAGAUCAUGGAUAUCAUGGACCUACAAAUAGCUGUUGAAGAAUCAAACAGUAAACUUUAAGAGUAACAAAAUUAGCUUGGAAUCUGAUUUUUGUAAUGAGAAAAAAUCAAAGUUUUCUUGUUUCGUAUAUGUUGGUUAUCAAAAGAGAUAAUUUUGAUUGAAUCUGAUCAGAUAUUGUUGGGCUCUGUGUUGUGUGAUUGAUGAACAUUUCUUGUCGUUUGUUCCUUGAUUAGCUCUAAUAUUUAGAUUAGUGAGCUACAUUGUGGGAACUUGGGAAGAAAUCAUAGUAUUCUUGUUUUGUAUAUGUUGGAUACAACUUGCUUGGCAAUAAUUCUGGGUCCAUGGGGAAUCCAUUGUCUUUGUUAGUUUUGGUAGAUAUUCAUUGUUACCUUUCAAUUUUUUUCCAAGCUUUAUAAAGCAUAAUGUUUAGAAAAUUGAAGCAUAUUUCUUAAGAGAAAAUUAGGUUUACCUUGUGAUUACUAAACGUGAAUACCUUGUUAAUUGGUGCUGAUUAACAAUGUUUUGAAAUGAAUUUUCUUGUAUUAAUUAAUCAGAGCAUCGUGUGGCCAAAUCCAAAGGUCUAGCUGCAAGCAAUUGCAACAACUCGGUUUGAUGAUGGGUUGGAAGAUGGAAGUUGGAUUCGAAACCAUUCUCGAUAAUUUGACAUUAGGUCUGAAGCCCUGUGAGAGAAGCUCAAGCUCCCCAUAAGCUCUAUGUACAAAGCAGAAGUGUAAUUUUCUACGGAAGAAACUUUUAGCGAGAAAUUAUCUGUAUAAAUUCAUUGAUGCGUGGGGUGUUACGAAUGUAAUAAUGAGUGAUCAUUGUAUUCUAAAGCACUACAUUGGGGUUGUGAAAGUUUGUAUCAAUUUGCAAACAUGGGUGCUCUUUGUUCUCAAUUUUAAACAAGGAUUUUUACUUUUUUUGUAGCA